AUCUGUGGAAGAGACUCGACU
Molecule: microRNA, 21 nt
Filed under: Eugenia uniflora (Surinam cherry)
Lineage: Eukaryota; Viridiplantae; Streptophyta; Magnoliopsida; Myrtales; Myrtaceae
Description: eun-miR10218-3p
Source: miRBase by way of RNAcentral